GGGCGUGUGGCGUAGUUGGUAGCGCGCUCCCUU
This 33-nucleotide transfer RNA is filed under the name Kluyveromyces lactis. RNAcentral's name for it is "partial transfer RNA". Lineage: Eukaryota; Fungi; Ascomycota; Saccharomycetes; Saccharomycetales; Saccharomycetaceae. The record is from RNAcentral.